This 1259-nucleotide unclassified non-coding RNA is filed under the name Hevea brasiliensis (rubber tree). Lineage: Eukaryota; Viridiplantae; Streptophyta; Magnoliopsida; Malpighiales; Euphorbiaceae. The record is from RNAcentral.
CUUCUGUAUAUAUAUCUCAUUUUAUAUAUAUAUAUACAUUAAAUGAAUAAUAUAUCAAAUUUCUUUGACGAGAGUUUCCCACUGCUGCUUAUCAACUUAAUUUCAUUUAAUCCCGGGAAAAAACAAAUACAACCCGGUAUUUAUUAGGAUGAUGACUACAAAUGCAUUAAAUAUUACAUUGAAAUUCUUCUCAGGGAUCGGACAUCAGUCACCGGAGGGCGCUGGAGUUGCCGGUUCGUUAAUCAAGCUACCAAGCCGGGGCCUUAGUUUGUCUUUCCAUAUUUCUUGGCUUGGUAUCGGAUUCAUCUCCUUUCCCUUCACCUCUACCACAACUAAUUGCUCCGUUAACUUGUACAUUUUUAUGGCCAUGACAAAAGCACCAUCAAAUCCUUCCCGUUUCGCUCCCCAAUCCCUGUUCAUCGUCACUUUAACGUUCUCAGUCCUUGCAAUCUCUUCCACUCUCUCUAUUAUCUUCGGCGGGGACUCGGAAGACAUGAAACGUUCACUGCAGGCCGAAAUAUCGUGGUUAUUGAACAGAGGGGAUAAAUCAAAACCCGCAGAGAAGGAGAUUAUGUGAAAAGCAUCCUGGCUCUUGUGAACGUCUUCUUGCACCAAUCCUCCAAGUGAAACUUUAUCCCUUUGUAAUCCUUUUUGAACCAUAAGUCCUGGAUAAUCUCAUCGACGGUUAUCUAGUCUCGGGAUUUGUGUCGAGGAGCCGAGACGAGAAACGCCGUAGGUCCGGAGACGUCCAUUUCGGGAAUUUGAACUGACCUCUAUAAAUCUUCCUAUACAUAGCCAUAAGGUUAGUAUCAUUGAAAGGCAAAUAACCGGCGAUGAGAACAUAUAAGGUGACGCCACUGACCAAACAUCAACCUUAGCACCAUCGUAGCCUUUCUUACAGAGAAUCUCGGGUGCAACGUAAGCUGGAGUACAACAUAAGGUAUGGAGUAGGCCGUCAGAUUGGAUCUGAUCCUUGACGGCGCUGAGACCGAAGUCGGUAAUUUUGAGGUCCCAAUUAUCGUCGAGGAGGAGAUUCUGGGGUUUCAAAUCGCGAUGAAACACGCCUCGGGCGUGACAAUGUCCUAUAAAGCCUCCCUUCAUGACCUUCUGCUUGCUGACGGCCUUAAUGGCUACGCUCUGGCCGGUACUAACAUUUCUGGCAUGGUAAUAUUGUGGCAUGUGCCCAACAAAAACAUCAUCUCUUUCAGAGAAUGAUGUGUGGAUUGAAGAAAAGAUGGAGAAGUUAAACUAGAAUCCUG